AUGGCAGCAGGUCCCCGGAGCAACAAGUGCCGGGCUGCAGGGAGGUGUCACAGGAUCCGCUCCAGUCAGCGAUCCCCGCGUCGCCGCCAACGCGCCCAAAAUAGCCGGAGGCCGCGGGGCGGGGUCAGCCCGGGCGGGGCUGGGCGGGAGGGGCGCCCGGCGAGCGCGGCCUCUGCCCUGGCCCCGGCCCCCGCCCCCUGCCCCGCCGCCCCGGCCCCGCUGGACCGGAGGCAGUCGCGGCCGACCCGGGCUGGCACCGCCUACGAGGCCCCGGGGACCUUAUGGGAAAGGCUUACAUCACCAAAGCCUUUAGAGAAACAGUCACCUUCACAGCUCGUACAUUCUGAGCCAAUGACUGCAUACCUUCACUGCAUGCUGCACAGACUCAUCACUUCCUGCUCUGGACUGCAGACAAUAUUUGCAAUAGCGAUGUGGCAGAGCUAA
This 444-nucleotide long non-coding RNA is filed under the name Panthera leo (lion). RNAcentral's name for it is "lncRNA (ENSPLOG00000001749.1)". The record is from RNAcentral. Lineage: Eukaryota; Metazoa; Chordata; Mammalia; Carnivora; Felidae.